GACGAACGCUGGCGGCGUGCCUAAUACAUGCAAGUUGAGCGCUGAAGGCUGGUACUUGUACCAACUGGUUGAGCAGCGGACGGGUGAGUAACGCGUGGGGAAUCUGCCUUUGAGCGGGGGACAACAUUUGGAAACGAAUGCUAAUACCGCAUAAAAACUUUAAACACAAGUUUUAAGUUUGAAAGAUGCACUUGCAUCACUCAAAGAUGAUCUCGCGUUGUAUUAGCUAGUUGGUGAGGUAAAGGCUCACCAAGGCGAUGAUACAUAGCCGACCUGAGAGGGUGAUCGGCCACAUUGGGACUGAGACACCGCCCCAACUCCUACGGGAGGCAGCAGUAGGGAAUCUUCGGCAAUGGACGAAAGUCCGACCGAGCAAAGCCGCGUGAGAGAAGAAGGUUGUCGGAUAGUAAAACUCGGUGUGUAGAGAAGAACGUGGGUGAGGGUGGAAUGCGCAGCAAGUGACGGUAACUACUCAGAAAGGGACGGCUAACUACGUG
RNAcentral lists this ribosomal RNA (497 nucleotides) under uncultured bacterium. RNAcentral's name for it is "partial 16S ribosomal RNA". It matches the Rfam family "Bacterial small subunit ribosomal RNA", at positions 28 to 507 of the family's 1533-position model. The record is from RNAcentral.